This 253-nucleotide ribosomal RNA is filed under the name uncultured bacterium. Its description in RNAcentral is "partial 16S ribosomal RNA". It matches the Rfam family "Bacterial small subunit ribosomal RNA", at positions 524 to 776 of the family's 1533-position model. The record is from RNAcentral.
UACGGGGGGGGCAAGCGUUGUUCGGAAUUACUGGGCAUAAAGGGCUCGUAGGCGGCCAACUAAGUCAGACGUGAAAUCCCUCGGCUUAACCGGGGAACUGCGUCUGAUACUGGAUGGCUUGAAUCCGGGAGAGGGAUGCGGAAUUCCAGGUGUAGCGGUGAAAUGCGUAGAUAUCUGGAGGAACACCGGUGGCGAAGGCGGCAUUCUGGACCAUAACUGACACUGAGAGACGAAAGCCAGGGGAGCAAACGGG